Carassius gibelio (silver crucian carp) is the source of this 1060-nucleotide long non-coding RNA. RefSeq lists it as uncharacterized. The transcript has 6 exons. The record is from RefSeq and is a predicted model, not a curated record. NCBI's taxonomy places the organism in Eukaryota, Metazoa, Chordata, Actinopteri, Cypriniformes, Cyprinidae.
UAUCCAACCCAUUCUCACUCCAAAGGCGUCAAAAACCGAAGCAUGGUCAAGCGCCCCUAGCGUCACUUUUAUGACGCCAAAUGUGCCUCUCGGCGUCGAAUAUCGAAGCACUACGACCUUCAUUGCUUUCAGUGGGAAACUUUUGGCGUCAGAAUUCGACACGACGAGGACAUGAGAUGUUUAUCGCUAUGAAAUCACGUUCAAGAAGUCUCAUUCAGCACACAUCGCGAUACUUGCUAUCAGUUCCACAGUUUGGCUGAAAAGACGUAAAGGAAGCCCAGUGGUGUUUCUGGAGAGCUAUUCCUUCAGAAAUGGAGAAGACAGAAAGCUGCGGAGGCAGAUAUUUGCAGCAGUCUAAAAUAUCGAGCUCAACAGCUCACUCAAGAGCCAACCCUCACAAACCUUCCUAAAAACUAAAAGAGCUAUUACUGAGUCUCAGCGAAUCUUGCCAUGAUCAGCUCUUCCCAGAAGAGAAGGAAGACCAAGGAAAUGAUUUGCUCAGGAUGAGGAAUGAAGAUGGCCAUCUUGUGCUCAAACAAACAGAAGUCCUCUGAUGAUCUCAUCAGCCAUAUGAGGGGUUUUGACCAAGUGAUGCUCUUGAAAGGAGUGAAAGAAGAGGAUGUGGUAAAUUGUCUUCAGAGAAAAAGCUUCUCAAAAGGUCUUAAAGCAGCUUGAAGAAUGGUCUGGGAUGUUAGGACUGAGAGAUCCUCUGGCUGAGAGAAGCUACACCACAUCAGUGCUGGAUAUCAACCACAAACUGUUUCCAGACACGAGAGAAGAAGAUCAUGAUGGGGAGAUGAAACCAGUUUAGAUGUGAUGAUGGGAAUCAUUAUUUUCUGAAACCGUAUCUCAUGUCUUAUAUGUAUCACAUGAUCUGUAUCACAGUUGACUGGAUGGGACUGUGUGACUUUUAAGGACAUUUCAUCACUCAUCUGUGUGAACUGAUUUAUAUAUGAGGUUAAUGUAUUUUUGAUGAUAAUUAUUUUCAUUGAAUCUUAUUUGUCUUGAUGCUACUUUAUCAACUUUAUAGUCUAUGCUUCAAUAAAAUGAAAAUGCUGAA